AGCUAAUAGAUACCCAGGUAGUCCUGGCCGUAAACGAUGGACACUAGGUGUCGGGGGUAUCGACCCCCCGGUGCCGCAGCUAAACGCAUUAAGUGUCCCGCCUGGGGAGUACGGCUGCAAGGUUGAAACUCAAAGGAAUUGACGGGGGCCCGCACAAGCGGUGGAGCAUGUUGUUUAAUACGUCACUAACCGUAGAACCUUACCAGGGCUUGACAUCCGACGACCGCCGGUGAAAGCCGGUUUUCCCCGCAAGGGGACGUCGAGACAGGUGUUGCAUGGCUGUCGUCAGCUCGUGUCGUGAGAUGUUGGGUUAAGUCCCGCAACGAGCGCAACCCCACCCCAUGUUGCCAGCGGAUCAAGCCGGGGACUCUUGGGGAACUGCCUUCGCAAGAGGGAGGAAGGUGGGGACGACGUCAAGUCAGCAUGGCCCUUACGCCCUGGGCUACAAACAUGCUACAAUGGGCGGCAGACAGAGGGACCCGAGGUCGCGAGACGGAGGCAACCCCGCAAAUCCGCCCCAGUUCAGAUCGCAGGCUGCAACUCGCCUGCGUGAAGUC
RNAcentral lists this ribosomal RNA (557 nucleotides) under uncultured bacterium. RNAcentral describes it as "bacterial SSU rRNA". It matches the Rfam family "Bacterial small subunit ribosomal RNA", at positions 767 to 1327 of the family's 1533-position model. The record is from RNAcentral.